RNAcentral lists this ribosomal RNA (443 nucleotides) under uncultured soil bacterium. RNAcentral's name for it is "bacterial SSU rRNA". It matches the Rfam family "Bacterial small subunit ribosomal RNA", at positions 26 to 518 of the family's 1533-position model. The record is from RNAcentral.
AGAGCGAACGCUGGCGGCAGGCCUAACACAUGCAAGUCGAACGGACCCUUCGGGGUUAGUGGCGGACGGGUGAGUAACACGUGGGAACGUGCCUUUAGGUUCGGAAUAGCUCCUGGAAACGGGUGGUAAUGCCGAAUGUGCCCUUCGGGGGAAAGAUUUAUCGCCUUUAGAGCGGCCCGCGUCUGAUUAGCUAGUUGGUGAGGUAAAGGCUCACCAAGGCUACGAUCAGUAGCUGGUCUGAGAGGAUGACCAGCCACAUUGGGACUGAGACACGGCCCAAACUCCUACGGGAGGCAGCAGUGGGGAAUCUUGCGCAAUGGGCGAAAGCCUGACGCAGCCAUGCCGCGUGAAUGAUGAAGGUCUUAGGAUUGUAAAAUUCUUUCACCGGGACGAUAAUGACGGUACCGGAGAAGAAGCCCCGCUAACUUCGUGCCAGCAGCCGC